This 555-nucleotide ribosomal RNA is filed under the name Triticum aestivum (bread wheat). RNAcentral describes it as "partial small subunit ribosomal RNA". The record is from RNAcentral. Lineage: Eukaryota; Viridiplantae; Streptophyta; Magnoliopsida; Poales; Poaceae.
AUGGCAGAAUGCUUCAAUAAGGUGCUCAAGGGUGUACGUGCAUUACCCGUGACGGCAAUAGUUUAAUACACAUUUGACAAGUUGAAUGAAUACUUUUUAAAGCACUCAAUGGAGACUGAUAAGAAGAUUGCUGGUGAGAACAAGGAUAAGCACAAGUACAAUUUCCCACCAAAGGUCGAAGAAUGGUUGGAAUUUCAAUCACGAAAGGCAGACUCCGAAGAAGCUGUACUAUAUGACGACAACGAGUGGAAGUAUGAGGUGAAAGAGCCCGGAGGAACCACAAACGAUGGCCUCCAACACGGAGGCCGGGCUUUCAAGGUCUCCCUAACACGGUGUGAUUGCAGCUGCAUGAGGCCGUCUUUGCUUCAUCUCGCAUGCUCGCACUUGUUAAAUGCAUCCCGGGUUAGGAAUGUGGACGUCAAUCACCCUCUUACCGUGAGGGAGUCCGAGUUCUCAAUCAUGACGGUAAAGAAUACAUGGACUCCACGGUUCCAGCCAUACUUGGACCAAUCACAAUGGCCGGAGUAUCAUGGAGUUCAACUAUGGCCGGACCCG